Molecule: ribosomal RNA, 1506 nt
Filed under: Triticum aestivum (bread wheat)
Lineage: Eukaryota; Viridiplantae; Streptophyta; Magnoliopsida; Poales; Poaceae
Description: partial small subunit ribosomal RNA
Source: RNAcentral
AUGAACCCGAGCGAGGACAGCGCCCGCCGCCGCCGCCGCCGCUCCCAAACCCACGCGAGUGACGUGGCCGUCGGAGUGAUCCGCCGCCGCAGUCCGCGCCUCCAUCCCCAGGUUCACCCGAGCGAGGAGGGAGACGGAGCGGCUCGCCGCCGCAGCCCGCGCCCCCGUUACCAGACCCGCGGGACUGGUGAGGGCGCUGGAGUGAUCCGCCGCAGCUUCCCGGCUGCGCUGGCCUCGCCGAUCGAAGACGAAGACCUCCUGAUGGAGAUCCUCCUUCGUCUCCCGCGGCAGCCCUCCUCGCUCAUCCGGGCCUCCGCCGUCUGCAAGCAGUGGCGGUGCGCCGCCACCGACCCCAAGUUCCUCCGCCGCUUCCGCCUCCACCAUCGGAAGCCGCCCCUCCUCGGCCUCUUCCACCAGCGCAACCAUGAUAUCGUCUUCACCCCCACCAUGGACCGUCCCGACCGAAUCCCUCCAAAGCGUUUCAACCUGCAUCAGCAUCUCGACAGCCACAACAUGGGGGCGGUCCAACUUCUCGAUUGCCGCCAUGGCCGCGUCCUUCUCACGGACAAACGGCGGGAUGAGCUCAUCCUAUGCGACCCUAUCAUCGGUGAGCAGCGCCUCAUGGCUGUUCCUCCAGAGUUCGUAAGAAAAUACUUCAACGGAACUGUGCUUUGUGCUGCCAUCGACCAUGACCAUGUGCACGAAAGCUGCCACUCGAGCCCCUUCAAGGUGGUGCUGAUCUAUCUCGGAGGGGAUAAUCAACUUACCGUGUGUGUUUACUCCUCUGAGACUGGCGUAUGGGGUGAUAUCAUUUCGACAACCGCUUCAUAUCAUCUUUCUGACUAUGGUAUCCCUGGCUUGCUUGUUGGUAAUUCGCUUUACUGGUUGCUGGAUAUUAUAGGGGCUGGCAUACUUAAGUUUGAUUUGGAUGAGCAGAGCCUAGCUGUGAUCAAGGGGCCUCUUGUUACAAAUGAUUUUAGCCGUGGUAGUUGUAUCAUCCAGGAUGAGGAUGGCACGCUUGGCUUCGCCAUAUUGUCUUACCCUCACUUACAAAUGUGGCAGAGGAAUAUCAUUUGCCAUGGUGUUGCCACAUGGGUGCUAUGGAAGACCAUUGACAUGCGUACAAUUCUUGGGCUCCCUAAACAGAUUCAAGGAAAGAGGACGCUUAUAAGAAGUAUACUGGGAUGCCUCGAGGAUUGUGACGAAAUACUUCUAUCUGUGGAUCGUGGUGCCUAUAUGGUUCAACUUAAGUCGAUGAAGUCUAGGAAACUUUGUGAAAACAGUUAUUUAACUUGCUAUCAUUCUUUCAAGAGUUUCUAUCCUCCAGAUUCAGAUGGAUACCGGUUUCCUGCUGAUGGCAAGCUUUCUCCCGUCCAUAUAUGUGCAUAUCCGAAGGUAUUGCCAUUUAUGCUGUGCGGCUUGCUUGCACUGGUAGCUCCUCAACCUGAACUGAACGCCUCAUCUGAGUUACUCGUCGUUUCCAACACAAGCAUCCCAUCGCUGUAA